Molecule: non-coding RNA, 896 nt
Filed under: Cercamia eremia (glassy cardinalfish)
Lineage: Eukaryota; Metazoa; Chordata; Actinopteri; Kurtiformes; Apogonidae
Description: partial 12S rRNA
Rfam family: Bacterial small subunit ribosomal RNA
Source: RNAcentral
ACCCCUGUGAGAAUGCCCUACAGCUCCCUGCCAUGGGAGCAAGGAGCUGGUAUCAGGCACCUCCUUAAGAGCCACCGCCCAUGACGCCUUGCUUAGCCACACCCCCAAGGGACCUCAGCAGUGAUAGAUAUUAAGCCAUAAGUGAAAACUUGACUUAGUUAAAGCUAAGAGGGCCGGUAAAACUCGUGCCAGCCACCGCGGUUAUACGAGAGGCCCAAGCUGACAAUCAACGGCGUAAAGAGUGGUUAAUAAACCCCAGAACUAAAGCCGAACGUCUACAAAGUUGUAUAAUACAUUCGAAGAUAUGAAGACCAACCACGAAAGUGACUUUACAUCCUUUGAACCCACGAAAGCUAGGGAACAAACUGGGAUUAGAUACCCCACUAUGCCUAGCCCUAAACCUAGAUAGAACCUUACAUAUUCUAUCCGCCCGGGAACUACGAGCACCAGCUUAAAACCCAAAGGACUUGGCGGCGCUUCACACCCACCUAGAGGAGCCUGUUCUAGAACCGAUAACCCCCGUUCAACCUCACCUUUUCUUGUUCUCCCCGCCUAUAUACCGCCGUCGUCAGCCCACCCUGUGAAGGCCUAGUAGUGAGCUAAACUGGCACAGCCCAAAACGUCAGGCCGAGGUGUAGCAUAUGAAGAGGGAAGAAAUGGGCUACAAUUGCCAAUAACAGCUAAUACGAAUUGCACCGCUGAAAAUGCACACAUGAAGGAGGAUUUAGAAGUAAGGGGGUAAACAGAGUGUCCCCCUGAAAUGGUUCUGAAGCGUGCACACACCGCCCGUCACUCUCCCCUAGCUAGAACGGCAUAAAGUAUCUAAGCAUAAACAACCUACACGGGGAGACAAGUCGUAACAUGGUAAGUGUACCGGAAGGUGCACUUGGAUAAAU